Molecule: non-coding RNA, 877 nt
Organism: Salvelinus sp. IW2-2015
Lineage: Eukaryota; Metazoa; Chordata; Actinopteri; Salmoniformes; Salmonidae
Source: RefSeq, a predicted model, not a curated record
AGAGUCUUAAUUCAGGGAUGGAACUCAUGACGUGGUCUACGCAGAACUAGACUAAUCAACCUUAUGGGAAUUGUUAUGCAAAUGGUCUUCUCUUGCCACACAGUCAGUUCCUCUUUGUUUUCGACUUACAAGAAAAUGCCGUUGCUAGUUAUGGCGGAAAUAUUUUUACUUCCCUGCGCUAAGCACAUUCCGUGAGGUCGCCAAAUGAUUCUUUAGAACUAAAACCAAGCUGACAUGUUGACAUUAGCUCACCAGCUGUCAGAGAUCAUGGGAGCCAUUCUAUUUUACUGAUUGUGGUCGGUCAAUUUCUCUUUUUAUUUGACCAACACAUCGAGUCUGUUUAAAAGAUUUAACAUAUGCAUGUGUGGCAGUUUCAACUUUUCUUUAUGUCUUCAUUUAGCGCUACUCAAGGACCAAGGAGCAAGAGUUUACUAGAUGUGCGAAUGGCUUUUCUCAGCCGUAUUCCAAUCCAGGUUCUGAAUUGUAUUGACAUAGAUGAGUGUUUUUGAGAACCAACAUUUUUGUGGGCAACGGGGGAAUCUGUGUCAAUCAGGUGGGUAGCUACCUGUGCAAGUGUCCCACAGGAUUCAGUAACUACGGCAACAGACAAACUCAGUGUGCAGGUGAGAAACAUUUCCUCUUGGUGUUGUUGUAUUGGGUUUUGUCUAAAUACUCUAAGGUGGCUACCUUUUGUCUGUCUUCCAUGUACUAGCUGACUGUACUGAAGCACCAAACAUUCUAUGUCAGGUUUUAUUCUGUACAUAGUGUACUGUAGAAUGGUUAGAGGUAAUAUGUCUCCAUAUUUUUACUUUAGGCUUAAUUGUGACCAGUAUGAAACACAGCCCGGACAGACUCUACCAGGCUUGAUAGUUUCUUG